UUUCACUGAGCUAGCUGAACCUAAGUGAAGAGAGGUGAAGAGAGCUGAAGAACCAAAGAAACGAUUCUCUUCUCCGAUACAGAUUUGUGAGAAAAAGAUGUUGAAUAGUUGAUGUCGCCAAAGAUGAGCUGAAGAGUUGAAGUCAUCGAAGAGUUGAAGUCGCUGAAGAGUAAGUACGAUUCUCUUUUCCAAUACCUGUUUCGUCAAGCUUAAGUACUAAAUCAGUCUUCUUGAUAUCUAAAGUGGUUGAUUUUGUUUUAAGUUUAGAAGAGGAAUAAGAAGGAAUUGAUUAUUUGGGGUUGUUGGCAAGAUGAACUGAAGCUAAUUAGUCUCUCCGUCAUGCUUUUCUCUCAAAUUUCUCACUGAAGAACACGAUUUCAGACAUAUUUUGUUGUAAUAGGGUUUAUU
RNAcentral lists this long non-coding RNA (408 nucleotides) under Solanum tuberosum (potato). RNAcentral describes it as "long non-coding RNA (STUB_LNC010681)". Lineage: Eukaryota; Viridiplantae; Streptophyta; Magnoliopsida; Solanales; Solanaceae. The record is from RNAcentral.